Molecule: long non-coding RNA, 321 nt
Organism: Drosophila innubila
Lineage: Eukaryota; Metazoa; Arthropoda; Insecta; Diptera; Drosophilidae
Exons: 2
Source: RefSeq, a predicted model, not a curated record
AUUAUUGUGGUGGCAAAGUCAGUGGAAACACGUGUAUAUCGCGCCUUACCCUUUGGUCUGUCCUGGAGACUGUUUUGCUCCCAGACCAGAACAUGGCCAUCGCGAUGACGAUGAUUAAGCUUGCUGCGUCGGAAGGGCAUAUUGAAUGCUUCACUUUUCCUGAGCUUUUUCGAUUUGUAUAAAUAUAUUAAAAUAAAACUAAACUAUAUUCGAAACGGAUUCGCACUUUUUCUAUGCGAAUUGUCGGCAAAAUAAAACCGAAUUACAGCAUAAACACACAAUACACGACUUGAUGUUGUUGUUGCUGGUGUUUCACUUUUA